This 269-nucleotide ribosomal RNA is filed under the name uncultured Dialister sp. RNAcentral's name for it is "partial 16S ribosomal RNA". It matches the Rfam family "Bacterial small subunit ribosomal RNA", at positions 103 to 355 of the family's 1533-position model. Lineage: Bacteria; Bacillati; Bacillota; Negativicutes; Veillonellales; Veillonellaceae. The record is from RNAcentral.
CGGGUGAGUAACGCGUAAACAACCUGCCCUUCGGAUGGGGACAACAGCUGGAAACGGCUGCUAAUACCGAAUACGUUCUUUUCAUCGCAUGGUGAGAAGAAGAAAGGACGGCCUCUACACAAAGCGGUCGCCGAAGGAGGGGUUUGCGUCUGAUUAGCUAGUUGGAGGGGUAACGGCCCAACAAGGCGACGAUCAGUAGCCGGUCUGAGAGGAUGAACGGCCACAUUGGGACUGAGACACGGCCCAGACUCCUACGGGAGGCAGCAGUC